GCUAAAAAUCUAGCCCGUAAAAUCCGCAUGAAUUUACCUACUUUUUACAUCUAACCAAAACAUUUUAACACUUUAGUAGAGGAGAUUGAAAAAUUAAUUGGAGCAAUAAAAACAGUACCGCAAGGGAAAGAUGAAAUAAGCAUGAAAUUAACCUAAAGCACAAAAAAGUAGAGAUUCCCCCUUGUACCUUUUGCAUCAUGGUUUAACUAGUCUAAUCAAGCAUAAAGAAUUAUAGUCUGACCCCCCGAAACUAAGCGAGCUACUUCGGGGCAGUUUUAAGAACUAACCCGUCUCUGUUGCAAAAGAGUGGGAUGACCCCCAAGUAGAGGUGACAGACCUAACGAGCUUAGUGAUAGCUGGUUACUCAAGAAAAGGAUUUUAGUCCAACCUAAAGCUUUUACUAUAAACAAAAAUUUUCAUCAAGCUUUUAGAGCAAUUCAAAUAAGGUACAGCCUAUUUGAAACAGGAUACAACCUCAACUGAUGGGUAACAUAACUUGGCAAUAAAUUAAGUGGGCCUAAAAGCAGCCACCUUUAAAAAGGCGUCAAAGCCUAAUUAGAUUAUUUAAACUAAUCCCCCUAUUCCCCUCUAACCCUCUAAUAAUAUUGAGUAAUUCUAUAUUCCUAUAGAACCUAUAAUGUUAAAACUAGUAACAAGAAGCUAAACCUUCUCUUAGAUGUAUGUAUAAAUCUCUAAAGGAUAAACCACUGAUAAUUAACGUAUAUGAGCCCAUAUUAGUAACUCCCCAAGAAAAUCCUAAUUUUUCCCACGUUAAACUGACACAAGAACAUCUCAAGAAAGAUUAAAAGAAAAAGAAGGAACUCGGCAAAUCUUAACCCCGCCUGUUUACCAAAAACAUCGCCUUUUGUCCAAAAAAUAUGAGGUCCAGCCUGCCCAGUGACCAUGGUUCAACGGCCGCGGUAUCCUAACCGUGCGAAGGUAGCGUAAUCACUUGUUCUUUAAAUAAGGACUAGUAUGAAUGGCAUCACGAGGGUUAUACUGUCUCCUUUUUCUAAUCAGUGAAACUAUUCUCCCCGUGAAGAAACGGGGAUAUUUUUAUAAGACGAGAAGACCCUAUGGAGCUUUAAAUUUUAUUUCAUUUUGCUCUUUUUAUACCCCAGCCUCUUAAUUUUAGCUGAGCAUGCUGAUAAUAAAUUUUUAGGUUGGGGUGACCGCGGAGCAUAAAAAAACCUCCGCAUUGACAUAGGCCUUGAGCCUUAAACAAUAGAGCUUCAACUCCAAGUACUAACAUAUUAACAUCCAUUGACCCAAUACUUUUGAUCAACGAACCAAGUUACCCUAGGGAUAACAGCGCAAUCUACUUUGAGAGCUCCUAUCGACAAGUGGGUUUACGACCUCGAUGUUGGAUCAGGGUAUCCCAGUGGUGCAGCCGCUACUAAAGGUUCGUUUGUUCAACGAUUAAAACCCU
Molecule: ribosomal RNA, 1429 nt
Filed under: Ololygon sp. KAV12
Lineage: Eukaryota; Metazoa; Chordata; Amphibia; Anura; Hylidae
Description: partial 16S large subunit ribosomal RNA
Rfam family: Bacterial large subunit ribosomal RNA
Source: RNAcentral